GUCAAACUUUCUAACUUAGCAAUUGAAUACGAAUCAACACCUCCUUUAGUAUGCAAUGUCAUGCAAAAAAAAUCAAAACAAAACACAGGUUAGUAUCAAAUAAUGGCGAUAAAAUGCAAGUAUAUAAACGAUAAUUACAACGCAUAUACGGGUAAGUACUAAGGCUUGACGCGGCUCCACUCGAGGAUAGCUCCUAAGGUUCACUAUAUGUGAUUCGGUUCUAGAGAUAAGGUACCCGAACCAGCAGAUCCCUCAAUCCUCACCCAUUAUAGCCUCAUAUAGAUCGAAUUCGGUUCAGGGGGAUACAUUUUCCUAUAACCAUGCGGAGAUGAAAAUCACACGAAAUCAUAGGUACGGAUGUACCCCGGAAGCAAUCCACUAGCCCAUGCGGAAGUGAAAAGCUCACGAAAGCGUAGUUUCUUACUCCCACUUAGAAGCUGUGACCACAGCGGUCAUGCAAUGAAAUGCAGUAUUAUUCUACGAGAUUCGAACCAUAACAACCAUACAAACAAAUGCGAUCAUGAUUUUCAAAACAAGUUUUUGAUUUUUGACAAAAGGACAGCAAAUAAUCAAUUUUAUGGCUAGACUCUCUUAACCGGUCCCCAGUGGAGUCGCCAAACUAUCGAAACCAUCUUUUUAUUUAAAAUUUUAAGUUCAAUAAAAAAUGGAGAAUCGACUAUUUGAAAAUAAAAACAUGGAGUCGCCACCGAUCUUUUUGUUUUGGUGUGAUCGACUCACCUAAGAAUUUGGCUAUUAAAACAUUUCUGGUUUAUUAAAACAAUGAUUUUGGUCUAUGAACUUUUGAGAAAACAGGUUCGGGAGUCGAUUACGUAUGAGGAAGGAUUAGCACCCUCACUACGCUCAAAAUUGGUACCAAAUCGAUUAAAUACUGUCCUUACGUCUAAGAUUUAAAAAUGUUUUUGAAAUGUGGUUCCCUUUUGAUAAUAUUUGAAUAACCCGAGUUGGUUAUCAAAAUUAUCUUGCUUAAGAGGCAUAUAACACCACAUCUAGCACGAUAGGACACGAUCUUUCAUGCCCUCGAAAGCAUGACAAAUUUUGACUUCCAAAAAUUUAUACGUUGAAAACCGUAAAAGGAUGCCCAAUUAUUUAGUCCAACGAGAAGAUCGAAACCCAGCACAGUAGGGUACGACUCCUCGAAUUUCUAGAUAUCAGACAUUGCCUUAUUUUAGAAUUUAAAAAGUAUGAGUGAAAUUCUAAAGGAAUCUUCGAUCAUUUUGGACAAACAGAAAAUUGCAACCCAACACAUUAGGGUACGAUUACCCGAAUUGCCAAACUUCGAAUAUUACCUUCAUUUUGAAGAGUUUUUAGAAAACGUAAAUGAAAUUCUAAAGGGACAUUCGAUUAUUUUGAGCAAACGAGAAAUUGCAACCCAGCAUGUUAGGGCACAAUUCCGCGAAUUGUCAAAUAUCGAACAUCGCCCUCGUUUUAAAGGAUUUUUAGGAGACAUGAGUGAAAAUUUGAAGGAAUAUUCGAUUAUUUUGAGCAAACGAGAAAUUGCAACUCAGCACGUUAGGGCAAGAUUCCGCGAAUUGUCAAAUAUCGAACAUCACCUUCGUUUUAAAGAAUUUUUAAACGAAUAAUUAUAAAAAUAGCUUAAAACAUAUUAAUGCGACUCGAAAUAAAACGAAAUUAAUCAUAAAAAUUUAGAUUUUAUAAAACCACAUUUCAUAAACCAAGUGGAAAACGAUGAUAUGGGGUAAUAUGUAUAUGCAUAAAAUACGACAAUGGAAGAGUGGGGGGUAAUACAAUUUAUUUAACCAACUAACAAACACUUACAACUAAGUAUAACUAACUUGGAAAUAUAGCUCAAUUUCAAUCAUGCAUGGAGAAUAAUUAACAUGACAAUACAAAACAAUGAAUAAAUAAAUAAUGCAAUGGUAACAUGCAUGGCAUAAUGUAAUAUGACUACUACUAGAUACACAAAACAAAAUGCAAAUCAAAGAAGUAAUAUGGUAUAAAACUAUUUUAAAACAAUGAUAAAUAAACGAUGCACACUAUAUGAAUUGAUGGAUUGAUAAAUAAAACAUUUGUAAAGGCAAGCUUAAUAUACAUAUGCGAUCAUUAAAAUAUAUAUUGUAGAAUGAAUCUUUUUUUUAAAAUACAUAAUAUAUAAGUUGAUAAAUUUGCGUAGAAACUAAGAAUAUGUAAUCAUUGAAAGAAAUAUUAUAGAAUAAAACUUUGAAUCAAAUUGCAUGUAAAUAUUUUAAAUACAAACUCCUUUAAAGGUUUACAAAGUACAUGAUAAUUUGAAUAAUAUAUGUACAAAAGAAUAAUAAAAAUACAUGACAAGACAUAAUACCCAAAAUAGAUUUAUAAAAAAUGUACAUGUAAAUUUAUAAAAAGAAUGAGAUUAAUAAUAAUAAUAUAUAUAUAUAAAUUUUAAGUUAGUCUAAAAAUUAUACAUGCCUUCAUAUCAAAACAUUUAAAUAAUAGGCUAUAUAAAACACAAAGUAAGUUAAUACAAAGGAACAUCUAAAAAUAAUAAUUUUAUAAUUACAAAAAAAUGAGGUUUCUAAAAUUGUUUCACAUAUAUGUAUAAUUAUUAAACUAUAUGUUAUGGAAUAAAUAUUUUAAUCGAAUGACAUACAAAAUAUUGAAGAAUAUUAGCUUAAAAUUAACAAUUUUCAUAAAUAUUUUAAAUUAUGUACCAAAUAUGAAGAGAUUACAAAUAUAUAUAUAUAUAACUUUAGAAGUAAUUAUUUGUAAAAACAUGUAAGACAUACAAGAUUAAAUUAAUUUUAUUAUACAUUUCACAAUAGACUUAAGAACGUGCCUAUAGAUGUAAGAAAACUAUAGGCAUAAAAUGUAUCGACUUAGAAAUAUAUAUAUCAAAUAUGUGUACUAAUAUAAGUAAGUAUAAAAAUAAUUUAAACUUUAUGUAAAACAUAUAUACAAAACAUGUUAGAAUAACAAAAAUAUAUAUACCAAAAUACAUGGAUAGGGUCAAAAAUCAUUAUAUGCAUGAAAAUACGUUAACUUUGUUAUAAAAUAUGUAUAUGUAUAAUAAUAUAAAGGAGAUAAACAAUUAAAGUAUACAAAGUAUGAUAAUAAUAUUACAAAAACGAAUCUACAACAAUGAAGAAACAAUUAUCAAAAUUGCUUAAAAUGUACAAAUGAAUAAAUAAAGAAAAUAAAAAGGGCUAUAAAAUAAAAAGACUCAAUUAAAAUUAAACUAAAACACACGGGGUAAUUUGAAAAUAAAUCAAUAAUUAUAAAAGGACCUAUAGGUAACGCGCGCAGCUGUGUAGGGACUUAAACUGGAAAUAUUCUAGACCCCCAAAACGCAACACACAAGUGCGGACCAAAAUACAAAUACACGCAAAUUAUGGGUAAAAUUUAAAAAUAAAAAAAAUACGAAUAUUAACUGAUUUGAAAACGGGGCGAAAAGGAAAGGAUUUAUAUUGCAAAAAAACCCUCACCGCAAACACACGCGUGUCAUCGGGGCAGCAAACCGGAUCGGGUCGGGCGUGACUAGACGAUGUCGUUUUUGAGCCAUUGAAACGGGCUUGAAACGGCGUCGUAUUCGACCCUUUAAAAAGACCGAAAACUAAAUCAUUCGACCAAACAAACCCUAGCCUCCCCUUUUCUCCAACCGAACUAAGCCAAACCCCUUUGGCCAUGGCCCCAUCGCAACCUACAACCGACCGAUUUACUGCCCCGUGAUUCCUCCUCCACCUUCGACUUCAACGAGGCAAGGAAGAAUUAAUGGCGGAUUCACGAGGUAAGGCUUCAUUUUUCUCUUUUCUUUUAUUUUUAGAUGCAAAGAAUGAAAAAGAAAAUCAGAGGGAGCAGAUCAAGAGAGAAAAAACGUAAUAAACCCCAGAGAUUCAAAACAGGAAAUCACCUUGCUCUGUUUUUUUUUGCUUUCUAUUGCUUCUGUAUGCCUCCAGAAGACUUUACAAUCGCAAAACGAAAGGCUUUAUAGCCGAGUGUUCCAAAAAAGAAUAAAAAUAAAUUACAAUUUUUUCUUUUUCUCUUUGUUUUCGUGUUGCUGCUGUUGUUUUUUUGGUUUCUUCGCAGGUACGGGGUGCGUUGGAAUCUUACAGAGGCUGUGCUGGCGCUUGGCGUGAGGCGUACGAAGGCGUGCGUGGUGGUCGUACGACGCGAGGGCUGGGGCUCGUCUGCGGUUGCGGCGCAAAAGUGAGGAGGAAACCCUAAGGUUUCUUUUCUCAAAACAUUGGGCCUAUCGGGCUUGUAAUUUGGGUCGGUUUUUGAUAUUGGGCUGUAGGGUAUUAGUUAUGUAGUUGGGUUAUGUAAUUAGACAUCCAAGGACUAUUAAUUAUUUGGGUUUUUGUUUAUUUAUUUAGGGUUUCAGAGGGGCCAGGCAAAUUGGCCUGUUUACAUAUAUCUAAUUUAAUUAUUAAUUAAAAUUAACAUGAUUAUAAGUAAUGCCAACAUCUGUCCAUC
Molecule: long non-coding RNA, 4428 nt
Filed under: Gossypium barbadense (sea-island cotton)
Lineage: Eukaryota; Viridiplantae; Streptophyta; Magnoliopsida; Malvales; Malvaceae
Description: long non-coding RNA (GBAR_LNC001927)
Source: RNAcentral